GAUACACCCAUGCUUGGACAUCUCAUGGAGUAGGACUCUCUUAUUCAUCUCUGCAUUCCCAUGGCUUCAUGCUACGUAUGAACACAGGUUUUAGCCUCACAAAUCCGAAUAUGGGGAUCAAUCGGGAUUCAUGAUCCAAGUAAUGUUUUAGGUGUUGAGGUCCAAGACACCCAGGAGAGCAAGCAGCUUAAGGGAAGUCUAAAUGGCAGAGAGGAAGCUAACUCUUCACCACCUUGGCUUUCCCUGCUCAAGGGACUUUGGGGCAGUAACUGAGAAGCGCGAUGAAGAAUAAAUUUGGAAUUAUAGCCAGUUCCUUAACACUAUCUUGUUUGAUGGACUCUCUCCCCUUAACCGCUUUAUCAAAUGCUUCACCAAUGUUCUCAAAGGGCGCCAUGAUUUAUCACAGCUCAACCAACAUAUCCAAAUGGGAUGUUCCAGUGGUUGUAUAAAUUAAAGUUCCUUCGGAAUUCUAGAUCAACUGAAAUAGACUAAGAUUGCCUUUUCUAUAAGAUUGUGGCUCUACACAAUCGAAUCUCCACGAGCAACUUAU
Molecule: long non-coding RNA, 550 nt
Filed under: Equus caballus (horse)
Lineage: Eukaryota; Metazoa; Chordata; Mammalia; Perissodactyla; Equidae
Description: lncRNA (ENSECAG00000033622.2)
Source: RNAcentral